Molecule: ribosomal RNA, 240 nt
Filed under: uncultured Pseudomonas PS2
Lineage: Bacteria; Pseudomonadati; Pseudomonadota; Gammaproteobacteria; Pseudomonadales; Pseudomonadaceae
Description: partial 16S ribosomal RNA
Rfam family: Bacterial small subunit ribosomal RNA
Source: RNAcentral
GAACGCUGGCGGCAGGCCUUACACAUGCAAGUCGAGCGGAUGAAGGGAGCUUGCUCCCUGAUUUAGCGGCGGACGGGUGAAUAAUGCCUAGGAAUCCGCCUGGUAGUGGGGGAUAACGUUCCGUUCGAACGGAACGCUAUACCGCAUACGUCCUAUGGGAUAAAGCUGGGGGACCUUCGGCCUUGCCCCUAUCUAAUGAGCCUAGGUCCGGGUAUCUACUUAUUUAGGUGAAGGUUACCU